AGACAUUGAUGAAUUAAAAUUGAGUAUUACUCUUAGUUUAGUUUCUUCCUUAGUGUAGGGCUUGGAUAAGCCAUAUUAGUGUAGGUCUUAGAUAAGACAUCAAAACUUGAGAGAUUAAUACAUUUGAUGGAUUUCACUUGUGUUGAUCAAUUGGCAAGAAACGUAUGAUUGAGGGAGUGUGAGUUCCUUUGGUCCACCUAAGAGGAAGGUUUGAGCUUACAUUGGUGAUGUGUGUUUGAAGGUUUGAUACACCUUCUAGUGCUAUUCAUUGGUGGAAGUGAAGGUCUUUCUAUCUAUCUUUACUUUGUGUUGUUUUUCCUUUUGUGUGUUUGCUGAUUUUUGCCUCCUAGUAUCCAUUUCGUGAAUUCCUAGUAUUUUCUUAUAUCAUUUGGUAUCAAAGCCAUGUUUUAGGGUUGUUCCUACAACCCUAAGUCUUGGGUUAUUGAUUACCUUGAAGAAAAUCAACAAAAAAGAGUGUAGAAAAUUGAAAAUCUCACAAAAAAAAUUCUUAACCCGUUUUUGUGUUUUGACAGAUUUUUAGAUCUUAGAUCUACUUUGUUUUUGUGUGUUUUGUUGGUUUCAAGUGCUAGAUUUUUGUUCCCUAGCAUCUAGGGAGUCUAGAUCUACAUUUGGAACAAGAUUUGGUUGAGUUUGAGCUAAGAACCUCCAUGGAUAUGGUGUUUUGAAGAUUUUUGAGCAUAGAUCCGUGUGGGUUUUGAAGUUGGACGUUGGUUUGUUGCUGAUUUUUAGCUAUUUUAGUUGACCUUGGCCUAAGGAACCUAGAUCUACAAGAAAAUCCGAAUUUGGGGUUCAUUUGGUUAGGGGUCAAACUUUGGUCAACUCUUAAAUAUUCAUCUUGUUCUUCCAUGUUCAUCAAGUCUUGCUAAGGAAGAUUAUUCAAAGAGUGUGUUUGAUCCAAAAAAGGAGAAGAAAGAGAGUGUACUUGGUGUUUGUGAAAGAAUAUUCCUUGGCAUAUUCAUUCUCAUCCAAAAGAAAGAAGAGACAAAGGGAAUAAUCAAGUACAAUUGCAUUUAUUAGGGGGGGGGGGGACCAAUCCAUUUUGAAUUCAUUUGAAGAUCCAAAAGGGCUCCAAACCUUCAAUUCUUCCCUCUCAAAUGAAAUUUCUUCUUCUCCUAAGUGUAUUUGAACGUAACAAGGUUUUGGGGAAAAUUGAAAAUCCGAAAAGUGACGUCCAACCACAAGCUGCCACGUCAUCACUUUUAUGAAUAACCAAAUUGAGUUCUAAAUUAGAUUUUCUAGUUUCUAGUUUUUGAUUCUAGUUUCUUAUUAGUCAAUUCUACCCCUAAUUAGUAAGCUAGUAAGUACCUACUAGUUUGAUAAUUAGAUUAGAUUCCGUUUGUUUUGCGUCUUCAAUUUUGUGUGCUUUUCUCAUUUUUAAAUUCGUAGCAGUUUGAUGGUUCAAGUCCGUACAUCAUUUUAUUUGAGUCUUAUCAAAUAAGAAUCGAUUCCAGACCAAAGCAUUACACCACUCAUUCACUUGCCAAGUAUUGCCAAGUAUUCAACACUUGUGAGACCAAGUGUGAGGUAAGAAUCCGAGAGUGAGAGAGUUGGUGAGGAUAUUUGAACAAACUUGUUUGUUUCUUUAUUUUAGGUACCAUGGUUGCCUAUAGUUUUGAUGCUAUGUUUGAUCAUAUCAAUGACAAUAUUCAUAGCUUCAUUGAAGAUAUGUGCCAAAUGCUUAGUGCACUAAAUCCCAAUUUGUGAAAAAGAGAUGAAGAGGUGAAACAAGGGAGAAGACUUGACACACUCCCUUGUGAUGUGAGAUUCUCAAAGGAUAAAGUGGGCUGCCAUGAUCCGAACCAAGGCAAAGAAGAAUGUACUCAAGAACGUAAAGGUACAGGUACUCUAGCUAGUAGACCACCCCAGUAGGAGCACAGGAUAUCCAGAUGCUAUUGGUGAGCUCCAAGUUGAUUCGGAGCUUUUCGAGCCUAUUAUAUAUUUUGGUAUUGUGUAGUAGUUAUGAGCAAGGUGGGGGUUUGUCCCGACCUUAACUAAGUAUCCAGGUGUCUUUUAGAUGCUUUGCAGACUAUGUGAAAAGUGUGGUAGUAUCGUGUUCUUUUAACGUUGUGGACCCAACGGCAAAGUCUUGUAUAUGUAGGUUUGGACUUACUUACGUGGUUUGUUUUAUCAAUGCAUCUUAUCCAUA
Molecule: long non-coding RNA, 2167 nt
Organism: Capsicum annuum
Lineage: Eukaryota; Viridiplantae; Streptophyta; Magnoliopsida; Solanales; Solanaceae
Exons: 2
Source: RefSeq, a predicted model, not a curated record